Small nucleolar RNA from Ochotona princeps (American pika), 88 nucleotides. Its record names the gene SNORA74. It matches the Rfam family "Small nucleolar RNA SNORA74". Rfam says of the family: U19 belongs to the H/ACA class of snoRNAs. snoRNAs bind a number of proteins (including dyskerin, Gar1p and Nop10p in the case of the H/ACA class) to form snoRNP complexes. Lineage: Eukaryota; Metazoa; Chordata; Mammalia; Lagomorpha; Ochotonidae. The record is from Ensembl.
CCCAGCUAUAGGCAACUGCCUAGGUCGUAUUGUAUCUAGGCAAGGGUUACACUGCUGGGAGAAAAGCAGCCAAUAACUGGCAGGCAUU